Molecule: ribosomal RNA, 600 nt
Filed under: Leuconostoc mesenteroides
Lineage: Bacteria; Bacillati; Bacillota; Bacilli; Lactobacillales; Lactobacillaceae
Description: bacterial SSU rRNA
Rfam family: Bacterial small subunit ribosomal RNA
Source: RNAcentral
GUGCACAGCGAAAGGUGCUUGCACCUUUCAAGUGAGUGGCGAACGGGUGAGUAACACGUGGACAACCUGCCUCAAGGCUGGGGAUAACAUUUGGAAACAGAUGCUAAUACCGAAUAAAACUUAGUGUCGCAUGACACAAAGUUAAAAGGCGCUUCGGCGUCACCUAGAGAUGGAUCCGCGGUGCAUUAGUUAGUUGGUGGGGUAAAGGCCUACCAAGACAAUGAUGCAUAGCCGAGUUGAGAGACUGAUCGGCCACAUUGGGACUGAGACACGGCCCAAACUCCUACGGGAGGCUGCAGUAGGGAAUCUUCCACAAUGGGCGAAAGCCUGAUGGAGCAACGCCGCGUGUGUGAUGAAGGCUUUCGGGUCGUAAAGCACUGUUGUAUGGGAAGAACAGCUAGAAUAGGAAAUGAUUUUAGUUUGACGGUACCAUACCAGAAAGGGACGGCUAAAUACGUGCCAGCAGCCGCGGUAAUACGUAUGUCCCGAGCGUUAUCCGGAUUUAUUGGGCGUAAAGCGAGCGCAGACGGUUUAUUAAGUCUGAUGUGAAAGCCCGGAGCUCAACUCCGGAAUGGCAUUGGAAACUGGUUAACUUGAGUG